UAAUUCUGAAGUAUGAAAUCAUCUACCAGAGGAAGGGCAGACUAGUGAACAGAAGAUGAAAUGAAUGAGGAAGAGAGAACAUCAGAACUCUAACUGAUUAUCUCAGUAAAUCUAGAUAUCUACAUGCAUGCAUACUGGAAGUGACUUCUUUUUUCCUUGGAAUUAUGUCUAUCAGUGAAACCUUGUCAGAGCUUGAUGAGAUAAUUUAAGGACUGGAAGAAGUACAGAUGAAUCACUGCAGUGCUAUGCUUGUCCUAAAUGUACCUGCUGAGAAGAAUUACCUCCAGUAAAUACCAUUUAAGAAGUAAACUUUCCGAAUGUAUCCCUGAGAAUCAGAGGUCAAUUAAAUAACCUACAAACCAGCAGGAAAAUUCCAUUCCCUGUUCAAGGUAGGUGUUAUCUCCUUUGACAAGAGUGGGCUAGUGGCAAAUGAAUAAAUUAAUACUUUUUUUUUUUUUCUUCUCCUAG
RNAcentral lists this long non-coding RNA (468 nucleotides) under Anas platyrhynchos platyrhynchos (common mallard). RNAcentral's name for it is "lncRNA (ENSAPLG00000019316.1)". The record is from RNAcentral. Lineage: Eukaryota; Metazoa; Chordata; Aves; Anseriformes; Anatidae.